GACGAACGCUGGCGGCGUGCUUAACACAUGCAAGUCGAACGGAAAGGCCCUGCUUUUGUGGGGUGCUCGAGUGGCGAACGGGUGAGUAACACGUGAGUAACCUGCCCUUGACUUUGGGAUAACUUCAGGAAACUGGGGCUAAUACCGGAUAGGAGCUCCUGCUGCAUGGUGGGGGUUGGAAAGUUUCGGCGGUUGGGGAUGGACUCGCGGCUUAGCAGCUUGUUGGUGGGGUAGUGGCUUACCAAGGCUUUGACGGGUAGCCGGCCUGAGAGGGUGACCGGCCACAUUGGGACUGAGCUACGGCCCAGACUCCUACGGGAGGCAGCAGUGGGGAAUAUUGCACAAUGGGCGGAAGCCUGAUGCAGCAACGCCGCGUGCGGGAUGACGGCCUUCGGGUUGUAAACCGCUUUCGCCUGUGACGAAGCGUGAGUGACGGUAAUGGGUAAAGAAGCACCGGCUAACUACGUG
RNAcentral lists this ribosomal RNA (468 nucleotides) under uncultured bacterium. RNAcentral's name for it is "partial 16S ribosomal RNA". It matches the Rfam family "Bacterial small subunit ribosomal RNA", at positions 28 to 507 of the family's 1533-position model. The record is from RNAcentral.